Molecule: ribosomal RNA, 253 nt
Filed under: uncultured bacterium
Lineage: Bacteria
Description: partial 16S ribosomal RNA
Rfam family: Bacterial small subunit ribosomal RNA
Source: RNAcentral
UACGUAGGGGGCUAGCGUUGUCCGGAUUUAUUGGGCGUAAAGAGCUCGUAGGCGGUCUGUUGCGUCCGCUGUGAAAACCCGGGGCUUAACCCCUGGCUUGCAGUGGAUACGGACAGACUAGAGGUAGGUAGGGGAGAAUGGAAUUCCCGGUGUAGCGGUGAAAUGCGCAGAUAUCGGGAGGAACACCUGUGGCGAAGGCGGCCCCCUGGUUGGAUACUGACGCUGAGACGCGAAAGCGUGGGGAGCAAACAGG